This 443-nucleotide ribosomal RNA is filed under the name uncultured bacterium. Its description in RNAcentral is "partial 16S ribosomal RNA". It matches the Rfam family "Bacterial small subunit ribosomal RNA", at positions 338 to 795 of the family's 1533-position model. The record is from RNAcentral.
CCUACGGGUGGCAGCAGUGGGGAAUAUUGGACAAUGGGGGGAACCCUGAUCCAGCGACGCCGCGUGAGUGAAGAAGUAUUUCGGUAUGUAAAGCUCUAUCAGCAGGGAAGAAAGAAAUGACGGUACCUGACUAAGAAGCCCCGGCUAACUACGUGCCAGCAGCCGCGGUAAUACGGAGGGGGCAAGCGUUAUCCGGAUUUACUGGGUGUAAAGGGAGCGUAGACGGUUACGCAAGUCUGGAGUGAAAGGCGGGGGCCCAACCCCCGGACUGCUUUGGAAACUGUAUAACUGGAGUGCAGGAGAGGUAAGUGGAAUUCCUAGUGUAGCGGUGAAAUGCGUAGAUAUUAGGAGGAACACCAGUGGCGAAGGCGGUCUGCUGGACAGCAACUGACGCUGAGGCGCGAAAGCGUGGGGAGCAAACAGGAUUAGAUACCCUAGUAGUC